AGCUCAGUUGAUUAGAGUGUGGUGUUGAUAACACCAAGGUUGUGGGUUUGAUCCCCAU
Molecule: transfer RNA, 58 nt
Filed under: Manacus vitellinus (golden-collared manakin)
Lineage: Eukaryota; Metazoa; Chordata; Aves; Passeriformes; Pipridae
Rfam family: tRNA
About the family: Transfer RNA (tRNA) molecules are approximately 80 nucleotides in length. Their secondary structure includes four short double-helical elements and three loops (D, anti-codon, and T loops). Further hydrogen bonds mediate the characteristic L-shaped molecular structure. tRNAs have two regions of fundamental functional importance: the anti-codon, which is responsible for specific mRNA codon recognition, and the 3' end, to which the tRNAs corresponding amino acid is attached (by aminoacyl-tRNA synthetases). tRNAs cope with the degeneracy of the genetic code in two manners: having more than one tRNA (with a specific anti-codon) for a particular amino acid; and 'wobble' base-pairing, i.e. permitting non-standard base-pairing at the 3rd anti-codon position.
Source: Rfam by way of RNAcentral